This 407-nucleotide transfer-messenger RNA is filed under the name Caldilineaceae. RNAcentral describes it as "CFX5 sp003577005 Standard tmRNA". It matches the Rfam family "transfer-messenger RNA". From Rfam's summary of the family: Bacterial tmRNA, also known as 10Sa RNA or SsrA, is named for its dual tRNA and mRNA-like properties. RNAcentral also lists the same sequence under 1 other name. The record is from RNAcentral. Lineage: Bacteria; Bacillati; Chloroflexota; Caldilineae; Caldilineales.
GGGGAUGUACGGUUUCGACGGGGCAGGCUGUUCUUUGACUGCAGGUCGUAGAGCGUCGACUACGUAAAAAAGGCGCAAACCCUAUAAAUGCCAACACUGGCAAACUCUUCAACUUCGGCUUUGCCCAGACUGCUCCGGCUGCUCUGGCUGCCUAAGAGAAGAACCUGAUCUUCUAGCGAAGAUCACGGCCCGCCGCGGUGGUGCUCCCAGGCCCGGCGUUCGCUGACAUAAACUGGUGAGAUGCGGCGACGGGACGCCGAUAGCGUCGCCUAAGGCAAUCGGCUAGCCGGGCAGUGGAAUCCUGUUACACGGAGUCCGCCCGGUGAAUGACCAAAGGUGUAACUAAACCUGUAGAUGUCUCUGAACGAAUGUUUCGGACGCGGGUUCGAUUCCCGCCAUCUCCACCA